This 434-nucleotide ribosomal RNA is filed under the name uncultured bacterium. RNAcentral describes it as "bacterial SSU rRNA". It matches the Rfam family "Bacterial small subunit ribosomal RNA", at positions 29 to 496 of the family's 1533-position model. The record is from RNAcentral.
AAUGAACGUUGGCGGCAUGGAUUAGGCAUGCAAGUCGAGCGCGAAGUGUAGCAAUACACGGAGAGCGGCGAAAGGGAGAGUAAUAGAUAGAUAGCUGCCCUCGGGCCUGGGAUAGCGGCGGGAAACUGCCGGUAAUACCAGAUAUUGUCUCCGGACCAAAGGUUUACCACCCGAGGAGGCGUCUGUUUCCUAUCAGCUUGUUGGCGGGGUAAUGGCCCACCAAGGCUACGACGGGUAUGGGGUGUGAGAGCAUGCCCCCACUCACUGGGACUGAGAUACUGCCCAGACACCUACGGGUGGCUGCAGUCGAGAAUCUUCGGCAAUGGGCGCAAGCCUGACCGAGCGAUGCCGCGUGCGGGAUGAAGGCCUUCGGUUGUAACCGCUGUCGUAGGGAGCAAGGGAACCGUUGAGCGAUACCUAGGAGGAAGGACGGG